AGAGUGUGUUGUGAGUGACUGGUUCGUAAAUAUACUGUGGAGAGAGAGAGAGAGAGAGAGAGAGAGAGAGAGAGAGAGAGAGAGAGAGAGAGAGAGAGAGAGAGAGAGAGAGAGAGAGAGAGAGAGAGAGAGAGAGAGAGAGA
Long non-coding RNA from Portunus trituberculatus (swimming crab), 143 nucleotides. RefSeq lists it as uncharacterized. The transcript has 2 exons. The record is from RefSeq and is a predicted model, not a curated record. NCBI's taxonomy places the organism in Eukaryota, Metazoa, Arthropoda, Malacostraca, Decapoda, Portunidae.